GGUUAAGCGACUAAGCGUACACGGUGGAUGCCCUGGCAGUCAGAGGCGAUGAAGGGCGUGCUAAUCUGCGAUAAGCGCCGGUAAGGUGAUAUGAACCGUUAUAACCGGCGAUACCCGAAUGGGGAAACCCAGUGUGACUCGUCACACUAUCAUUAACUGAAUCCAUAGGUUAAUGAGGCGAACCGGGGGAACUGAAACAUCUAAGUACCCCGAGGAAAAGAAAUCAACCGAGAUUCCCCCAGUAGCGGCGAGCGAACGGGGAGGAGCCCAGAGCCUGAAUCAGCAUGUGUGUUAGUGGAAGCGUCUGGAAAGGCGCGCGAUACAGGGUGACAGCCCCGUACACAAAAGCGCAUGUGCUGUGAGCUCGAUGAGUAGGGCGGGACACGUGGUAUCCUGUCUGAAUAUGGGGGGACCAUCCUCCAAGGCUAAAUACUCCUGACUGACCGAUAGUGAACCAGUACCGUGAGGGAAAGGCGAAAAGAACCCCGGCGAGGGGAGUGAAAAAGAACCUGAAACCGUGUACGUACAAGCAGUGGGAGCACAGGUUUACCUGUGUGACUGCGUACCUUUUGUAUAAUGGGUCAGCGACUUAUAUUCUGUAGCAAGGUUAACCGAAUAGGGGAGCCGGAGGGAAACCGAGUCUUAAUUGGGCGUUAAGUUGCAGGGUAUAGACCCGAAACCCGGUGAUCUAGCCAUGGGCAGGUUGAAGGUUGGGUAACACUAACUGGAGGACCGAACCGACUAAUGUUGAAAAAUUAGCGGAUGACCUGUGGCUGGGGGUGAAAGGCCAAUCAAACCGGGAGAUAGCUGGUUCUCCCCGAAAGCUAUUUAGGUAGCGCCUCGUGAAUUCAUCUCCGGGGGUAGAGCACUGUUUCGGCUAGGGGGCCAUCCCGGCUUACCAACCCGAUGCAAACUGCGAAUACCGGAGAAUGUUAUCACGGGAGACACACGGCGGGUGCUAACGUCCGUCGUGAAGAGGGAAACAACCCAGACCGCCAGCUAAGGUCCCAAAGUCAUGGUUAAGUGGGAAACGAUGUGGGAAGGCCCAGACAGCCAGGAUGUUGGCUUAGAAGCAGCCAUCAUUUAAAGAAAGCGUAAUAGCUCACUGGUCGAGUCGGCCUGCGCGGAAGAUGUAACGGGGCUAAACCAUGCACCGAAGCUGCGGCAGCGACACUGUGUGUUGUUGGGUAGGGGAGCGUUCUGUAAGCCUGUGAAGGUGUGUCGUGAGGCAUGCUGGAGGUAUCAGAAGUGCGAAUGCUGACAUAAGUAACGAUAAAGCGGGUGAAAAGCCCGCUCGCCGGAAGACCAAGGGUUCCUGUCCAACGUUAAUCGGGGCAGGGUGAGUCGACCCCUAAGGCGAGGCCGAAAGGCGUAGUCGAUGGGAAACGGGUUAAUAUUCCCGUACUUGGUGUUACUGCGAAGGGGGGACGGAGAAGGCUAUGUUGGCCGGGCGACGGUUGUCCCGGUUUAAGCGUGUAGGUGUGUGUUCCAGGUAAAUCCGGUUCACUUUAACACUGAGGCGUGACGACGAGGCACUACGGUGCUGAAGCAACAAAUGCCCUGCUUCCAGGAAAAGCCUCUAAGCAUCAGGUAACAUCAAAUCGUACCCCAAACCGACACAGGUGGUCAGGUAGAGAAUACCAAGGCGCUUGAGAGAACUCGGGUGAAGGAACUAGGCAAAAUGGUGCCGUAACUUCGGGAGAAGGCACGCUGACACGUAGGUGAAGUGAUUUACUCAUGGAGCUGAAGUCAGUCGAAGAUACCAGCUGGCUGCAACUGUUUAUUAAAAACACAGCACUGUGCAAACACGAAAGUGGACGUAUACGGUGUGACGCCUGCCCGGUGCCGGAAGGUUAAUUGAUGGGGUCAGCGCAAGCGAAGCUCCUGAUCGAAGCCCCGGUAAACGGCGGCCGUAACUAUAACGGUCCUAAGGUAGCGAAAUUCCUUGUCGGGUAAGUUCCGACCUGCACGAAUGGCGUAAUGAUGGCCAGGCUGUCUCCACCCGAGACUCAGUGAAAUUGAACUCGCUGUGAAGAUGCAGUGUACCCGCGGCAAGACGGAAAGACCCCGUGAACCUUUACUAUAGCUUGACACUGAACAUUGAGCCUUGAUGUGUAGGAUAGGUGGGAGGCUUUGAAGUGUGGACGCCAGUCUGCAUGGAGCCGACCUUGAAAUACCACCCUUUAAUGUUUGAUGUUCUAACGUGGACCCGUUACCCGGGUUGCGGACAGUGUCUGGUGGGUAGUUUGACUGGGGCGGUCUCCUCCUAAAGAGUAACGGAGGAGCACGAAGGUUGGCUAAUCCUGGUCGGACAUCAGGAGGUUAGUGCAAUGGCAUAAGCCAGCUUGACUGCGAGCGUGACGGCGCGAGCAGGUGCGAAAGCAGGUCAUAGUGAUCCGGUGGUUCUGAAUGGAAGGGCCAUCGCUCAACGGAUAAAAGGUACUCCGGGGAUAACAGGCUGAUACCGCCCAAGAGUUCAUAUCGACGGCGGUGUUUGGCACCUCGAUGUCGGCUCAUCACAUCCUGGGGCUGAAGUAGGUCCCAAGGGUAUGGCUGUUCGCCAUUUAAAGUGGUACGCGAGCUGGGUUUAGAACGUCGUGAGACAGUUCGGUCCCUAUCUGCCGUGGGCGCUGGAGAACUGAGGGGGGCUGCUCCUAGUACGAGAGGACCGGAGUGGACGCAUCACUGGUGUUCGGGUUGUCAUGCCAAUGGCACUGCCCGGUAGCUAAAUGCGGAAGAGAUAAGUGCUGAAAGCAUCUAAGCACGAAACUUGCCCCGAGAUGAGUUCUCCCUGAGACUUAAAGUCUCCUGAAGGAACGUUGAAGACGACGACGUUGAUAGGCCGGGUGUGUAAGCGCAGCGAUGCGUUGAGCUAACCGGUACUAAUGAACCGUGAGGCUUAACCUU
This 2907-nucleotide ribosomal RNA is filed under the name Salmonella enterica. RNAcentral's name for it is "23S ribosomal RNA". It matches the Rfam family "Bacterial large subunit ribosomal RNA". RNAcentral also lists the same sequence under 4 other names. The record is from RNAcentral. Lineage: Bacteria; Pseudomonadati; Pseudomonadota; Gammaproteobacteria; Enterobacterales; Enterobacteriaceae.